AAUACUUGAAUAACUUGCCUUUUACCUGGGGAUAACGGCUGGAAACGGCCGCUAAUACCGAAUGAAGUGCUAUAGGGGAUCUUAUAGCAUAAAAGUAGGGGAUACCGAAAGGUGCCUGGCGGUAAAAGAGAGGUUCAAGAGAUAUCAGCUAGUUGGUGAGGUAAGAGCUCACCAAGGCAAAGACGUCUAUGCGGACUGAGAGGUUGACCGCCAACAUUGGGACUGAGACACUGCCCAGACUCCUACGGGAGGCUGCAGUCGAGAAUCUUUUGCAAUGGGCGAAAGCCUGACAAAGCGACGCCGUGUGAGUGAUGAAGGCCUUCGGGUUGUAAAGCUCUUUCGCUUGGGAACAAGAGUAAGGAGGGAAUAUCUUUUUACUUUGAGGGUACCAGGUAAAGAAGCACUGGCUAACUCCGUGCCAGCAGCUGCGGUAAUACGGAGGGUGCAAGCAUUAAUCGGAUUUAUUGGGCGUAAAGGGCGCGUAGGCGGUAAUGCAAGUCAGAUGUGAAAUUCCGAGAGCUUAACUCCGGAGCUGCAUGAAACUGCAAUACUAGAGGGUUGACGGAGAAAAUGGAAUUCCAUGUGUAGCGGUGAAAUGCGUAGAUAUAUGGAAGAACACCGGUGGCGAAAGCGGUUUUCUAGUUAAUACCUGACGCUGAGGCGCGAGAGCAAGGGGAGCAAACAGGAUUAGAUACCCUGGUAGUCCUUGCCGUAAACGAUGUGUACUUGAUGUAGUUGGGCUCAACCCUGACUGUGUCGAAGCUAACGCGAUAAGUACACCGCCUGAGGAGUACGCUCGCAAGGGUGAAACUCAAAAGAAUUGACGGGGGCCCGCACAAGCAGUGGAGCAUGUGGUUUAAUUCGAUCCACGCGAAGAACCUUACCCAGGUUGGAAAUGUAUAGGACGUUAUCAGAAAUGGUAAUUCCCGCAAGGGCUUAUACACAGGUGCUGCAUGGCUGUCGUCAGCUCGUGCCGUGAGGUGUUGGGUUAAGUCCCGCAACGAGCGCAACCCUUAUCGUUAGUUGCCAACAGGUCAAGCUGGGAACUCUAACGAGACUGCCUAGGUUAACUAGGAGGAAGGUGAGGAUGACGUCAAGUCCGCAUGGCCUUUAUAUCUGGGGCUACACACGUGCUACAAUGGUCGAUACAGAAGGUAGCAAGACCGCAAGGUGGAGCAAAUCCCUAAAAUCGAUCUCAGUUCAGAUUGUAGUCUGCAACUCGACUACAUGAAGUUGAAAUUGCUAGUAAUGGCGUGUCAGCAACAACGCCGUGAAUACGUUCCCGGGCCUUGUACACACCGCCCGUCACAUCAUGGGAGUUGGUUUUACCCGAAGUCACUGACUUAACCGCAAGGGGAGAGGUGCCUAAGGUAAGGCCGAUGACUGGGA
This 1389-nucleotide ribosomal RNA is filed under the name metagenome. RNAcentral's name for it is "bacterial SSU rRNA". It matches the Rfam family "Bacterial small subunit ribosomal RNA", at positions 112 to 1480 of the family's 1533-position model. The record is from RNAcentral.